This 1865-nucleotide long non-coding RNA is filed under the name Bemisia tabaci. RNAcentral's name for it is "lncRNA ENSSSA1UGG013127". Lineage: Eukaryota; Metazoa; Arthropoda; Insecta; Hemiptera; Aleyrodidae. The record is from RNAcentral.
UUCCUUCCCCCCUCCCCCCCCCCAAAAAAAAAAAAUUAAAUGGAAAUUUUGAAUUUCAUUCAUUCUCAAAAAGGGACUUUAAAGUUUCGUCAUCCAUGUUUAGUCUUAAGGAUGAAAGAGGUAGACAAGAGAGCUGAUUUGUCUUGAAUUCAGAUUUAAAAAUCGUAAUUCCUAAUGGGCUUUAGAAACCGCCAGAAAAGCGGUAACCAAAUCUUCGGAAUUUAUGUGUUGCAACCUCCGAAUUCUGCUACAAAGUAGUGCGAAGGCGAAACUUUGCGUACUUCUAGUCUAGACCCUAAAAACACGCAAAGCGUAAUUACCGGUAGCGUGACUUGGAGCAAGAAUGCGAACGGCAUCACGCAUAGACCAAAAAAAUAGGGCACGGGAUGUAUUUUCAAUGAUCUCGAACAACGUCCAGAGCGUGAUCCUCGAGCAAACUUAUUUACAAAAAUGCGAGGGAGGGAUGGCUUGAAAAACAAGGGGGGAUUGAAAACGAUAACACGCGAAGUUUCAGCAGAUGUCUCGAUGAAACCGCUGUAUCCUUCGAAGUUUAAACUAAAAAAACUAUAAAAAGAAAUGGUUAGUUGCUGGCUUCGCAGAAAACGCCGUAUUUUCCAGUGCGAACCAAAAGUGAGCUCAAACAUGGAUCGCCGCUGUCUGAUUUUGAUUUCGACUCUAUUCGUCCAGAGUUUGUACGGAGCCUCGAUCGAGGUGCCGUCGACGACGAUCAACGGGGACGUGAGCUCGGCGGCGACUCUGAACGGAACCCCCCUGGAGAACUUGCCGAACUUGACCCCGGAGGAUGCCAAAGUCCUAGCCGAGCUCCAGCGGCUCCGCCACAGCGGCGAGCGGUUCCGCGGCGAGGCCAUGCAGUUCAUCCAGUCCCUCCCGAACCGCCUCUCGCAGGGCUUCGCCCAGAGCCACCAGCUCUUCCAGCUCCUCGCCCAGAUGUUCUCCUCUGCGGUCAACGAUCAGAUCCAGACCAUCCAGGCCGGCGGAAGGUACCUGGGCGAGAACGCCAAAAAUCUUGCUCUGGAGGGCCUGAAACGCGGACAGGACGGAAUCAGCGCCGGCGUUCAAAUGGGUGAGAAAGUGCUUGAGAGGGUUCGAAGCAACGGUCAAGCACUCCUGCAGAACGGCAUGAGCUACCUCCAGUCCGGUGGAUCAGGGUCCGCCAGCAUCACGACCAGGGAUUUGAGCGACCAAAUUACCGCCCCGUUCAAUAAUCAGUACACACAGCAGUUCACUUCGACCUUGAAGAAUGGUGCCAAUACUGUGACGUCGCAGCUUCCCAACCCCAACCAACAUCCUGAGGACGAUGACGAUGCUCUAUUGAGGGCCCAGACCCAAGACGACCUAGACGACGAUGUUGACUUCGAGGACGGCCUAGAAUCCCAGAAACUAACCCGACGGGACGACAAGCCUGUGACCGGGGUGCUCUCGGACGAGAUCAGCGGUGUGGGGGCGGCCGGGGCGGACAUGUUCAAGAACGUGGCUAGAUUCACAUCGGGCGGGAUCCGGGGGCUCCUGGACGCCCUGUCCACCGUCCUGGUGACCACGAGCGAGGUCGGAGGCCACGCCAGGAGCGCCUUCAGCAGCAUCAACAAGUCCGGGGCCGGCGCCAUCAGCUCCGUCAUCGACACCGGUGGCAACAUCGUCUCCGGGGGUUUGGACAAGGCUGGGUCCGUCGUUGGGUCCUUGAGAGUUGGUGGUGGUGCCGCUGCUCCCCCCAAGGCUUGAUCGAGGGUUUGUGUUUGGUUUGUUUUACUUACAAUGACAAGGACAAUGUCAAUAGAAUUAAACUUAUACUCAGAGGCUAAAUCGUUUCUUUCUUUUUUCCACCUUGAGCCUCACAAGUCGGUCAG